RNAcentral lists this long non-coding RNA (501 nucleotides) under Microcebus murinus (gray mouse lemur). Its description in RNAcentral is "lncRNA (ENSMICG00000048256.1)". Lineage: Eukaryota; Metazoa; Chordata; Mammalia; Primates; Cheirogaleidae. The record is from RNAcentral.
ACCUGUAUGUUUUACAUAAUGGUGUCAUAGAAAAUAAAGAUAUAGGACAACAAAAUAAACUGUGUCUUGCCCUGUAGUAACCUCUUCAAGAGCAGUCAGGAAAGUUCUGAGUCCUGUUGAGAAAACUGUGACCAGGAGUUUCACACCAGCCCUGGUGAUAACAGAACUCCUCCCCAAGACUUUGGGAUACAACUCAAAAGAAAAUUAAAGUAAAACACACUUUUCCCUCUCUCUUUCCUAGAGGAACUGACCCUUGAGGGGAGUGGGCUAGAAACCUGAAGACUUUUCCUUAGAAAUGAGGACUCUGAACUUCGUGUGAUGUGUUGUCUUGGAGGAAGACAUAGAAGAAAUUAUGCAAACUUGUAUUUUUCUUCUCCUCAGUUUACAAGGGAUUUAAGGUAUGUAAAACUCAGCAAUAGCCUUGGUUUCUAUAUCUGUGUUAAGAGAAUAAAUAAAGAUGAUAAUAGUAUGUGAUAAUUGCCCACACACAAAAUAAACUGC